RNAcentral lists this long non-coding RNA (2838 nucleotides) under Sus scrofa (pig). Its description in RNAcentral is "lncRNA (ENSSSCG00035004177.1)". The record is from RNAcentral. Lineage: Eukaryota; Metazoa; Chordata; Mammalia; Artiodactyla; Suidae.
CUAGGGCUGCUCCCGCGGCAUACGGAGGUUCCCAGGCUAGGGGUUGAAUCGGAGCUGCAACCGCCGGCCUACGCCAGAGCCACAGCAAUGCAGGAUCCGAGCCACGUCUGUGACCUACACCAGAGCUCACGGCAAUGCCGGAUCCUUAACCCACUGAGCAAGGCCAGAGAUCAAACCUGCAACCUCAUGGUUCCUAGUCAGAUUCAUUAACCACUGCGCCACGACGGGAACUCCCAGAUUGAUCUCUUUACCUGAGAAACCUCUAUGUGUUAUUUUCAAGUCCAAAACAAAGCAGGAAUUGCAGAGGCAAAAGAGAAAGUUAUAAAACUAAGGAUGUAAACCUGCAAGUUAAGGCAACACACACCAGUAGAGAAAUUCACUUGAAUAGUUCUGUGUUGGGGGAAAAACUCAGGGCAUUGUAAAUUCUGGAAGCGGGGAGCUCCUGGUGAUUCAUCUAAUUUAGCAUUAAAGACUGGCCCUCAGGGUAGGACAAACAUAGGCCACAGGUCUGAACACACUUGGCUAAGGCGAGUCCUGCUGUUAUUGGUGGAGAACAUCUCCAGUGAUGCCUACUAAGAACCUGAGACCCUGGGUCACGCAAAAUUCAUCCACCUCAAGUAUUUAGAGAAAAUUGUAAUGACACAGACCAUUUAGUCUGUUAUCACCUAGGCGAAUGGUACUGUACGUGGGAAUUUCCCACAAACCGGUUCUCCCUCUUUCCAAUGUGAUGGAUGAGAACAUGAAGUACAAGCAAAUUCUCAGGGGGGUCAGAGCUCCGCCGCCAUCUUGCUUUCAGUGCUGCUUUCACAGAUCCUAUUGUGCUUAUUCAAGUCACUCGUUAAGUCUCCUUGGAAAUAUAAUCACCUGAUGUAUGAAGCAACCAGAGAGAGGCUGUGCAACAGCACUUAAGACCUUGUUAACAACGUCCCUGACAACAGCUACAAUUAACCUAACACUAUAACGAACACUAAACUGCCCCUUCGUCAGGCCCUUAUGUAGACAAGUCUGGAGGGGAGAUUCCAUGGGUCACCUCAUCCCACGAUGGACAAGGAAUUCCUUGUCUUUGAAUGUGAUCUAGGAACCUCUUGACUUUCUCUGAAACAUGAAUCCAAAUGCCAUAGGACGAAUUAGCCAGCGCACAAAAGCUGCCUUGUUUGGUCGGUGAGUAACCUAAAAUGAGGCAGCUGCCCCAGGUCAUUGUGAGUGAGUAAAUGAACAAGGCUCUCGCCAUUGACCUUGACCAUCGGACAUCUCCUAGACACUUUCAUCUGGUAGGACUGCCAUUCCUAGGGACAUUAUCUAAAACAGAGUUCUGAUCAGGAGCCCUAUACCAAGGGAGAAGCCAGAGUGAUGCGAAGUGAUGGAGCAGCAUCUCUCCCUCCUCUGGAACAUCUCUUCUUGCAGGCAGGUCCUUUACUGAAAUCCCAAAAUGGGUACAUGUGGUACAUGGGUACAGCCAAGCCUCCCUAAGAAGGUAGACCCCUUCCCCUUGCCAAGGCCCAUGUGGAGUGGUGAUAUUACCUUGGUAGAAAUAUACGAAACCACGUGGGCCACCACCUGUUAUUUUGGUAAAUAUUUGAAGGUCACUGUUGUGGCUCAGAUUCAGUCCCUGGCAGGAACUGCCAUAUGCUGCAGGUGAGGUCAUGAAGAAAGGAUAAAAAAAAAAAAAGAAAGAAAGAAAAGAAAAUAGUGCAGUGAGUUCAAGAAGCACAAGGAUAUUUUCUUUGAUGUCUGAAAAAGAAGUACAAAGAGCUUUAUUAAUUAUUUCCUAUGAAAUAAUAAUUUACCAUCAGCAAAGGUACCGUUCGGAAAAAAUUCUAUUUAGUGUAGUUGUUCCCAAGAGUUGGUUCCUGGACAGUAACCAAAAAGAUGUCAUUCUUUCAGGUAAAGGUAUUAAUUGUAGACCAAGCAGAAACAAAUUAAUUGCCAUGAAUGCCUUAUCGUGGCCGCUAGUACCCUUUCCAGCACAGCACUUAACAGAAAGGGACGCCGUGACAUUCCAUGGGAAGAAUAACAAAUUCAAAUUGUUACCACUAUUGGUGAAUAAAAUAAGCUCCCACAAUAAUUCUGAAUUACUUAAAAUCUAGAGAAUGCCAGACAAAUCUUAUUAUUUUUAUUGUCUUUUCUUUUUAUAGCGUGAAAAGGAAAAUCUUUAUGUUUACUCACUGGCUACCCUGGGAAACGCAAAGAUAUUUUAUGUUUAAAAGCAAUCCUUAGAGUUGCAUGAUUCUAAAUUUGGGGGCUCUUUUUGGAGAAAGCAAUAUCAAAAAGAAUCAUCGGAAUAGGUUAGUCCCGAGAACAAAAGAAGUUCUUGGCUGCUUCAUUAAACCGAGCAACAAAAUAAUAGAGCGGGUUAAGGAUGCAGCAUUGCCACUGCAGCGGCUUGGGUCACUGCUGUGGUGAGGGUUUGAUCCCUGGCCCAGGAACUUCCACAUGCUGCAGGCAUGGCCAAAUAAAAUAAAAUAAAAUAACUUAGAAGCAUGAUGAGAGAGUAUAAACUAAAAACUGAAACUCUUAAGAAUUGAGUCUACGUCAAGCAAGAAUAUUUCCUCAUGUGGAAAGAAGAUAAAUAGUGCAAGGUUAUAAUUUCCCUUCAUAGGACCUCCUUUCUCUCUUAGUUAAGGUUUUUGCUUAUUGAAUCAUUGUGUUUAUAUAGUCAAACAUAUGUAAGUAUAUUAUAUAAUCUUUCACAUUAUUAAUCUUGUUAACAUAGGACAAUGUCUAUGUCACAUUGACUUUAUCACUGUGAUUCAAAUCUCAUAAAAGAGCAAACCAGUUCCUGUAUAGUCAAGAAUUAAAGUUAAAAUAACUUCAACUGUGGUGGGCUGACUGAUGACC